RNAcentral lists this ribosomal RNA (443 nucleotides) under uncultured bacterium. Its description in RNAcentral is "SSU rRNA". It matches the Rfam family "Bacterial small subunit ribosomal RNA", at positions 26 to 518 of the family's 1533-position model. The record is from RNAcentral.
AGAACGAACGCUGGCGGCAUGCCUAACACAUGCAAGUCGAACGAGACCUUCGGGUCUAGUGGCGCACGGGUGCGUAACGCGUGGGAAUCUGCCCUUAGGUACGGAAUAACAGUGAGAAAUUACUGCUAAUACCGUAUGAUGUCUUCGGACCAAAGAUUUAUCGCCUAGGGAUGAGCCCGCGUUGGAUUAGCUAGUUGGUGGGGUAAAGGCCUACCAAGGCGACGAUCCAUAGCUGGUCUGAGAGGAUGAUCAGCCACACUGGGACUGAGACACGGCCCAGACUCCUACGGGAGGCAGCAGUGGGGAAUAUUGGACAAUGGGCGAAAGCCUGAUCCAGCAAUGCCGCGUGAGUGAAGAAGGCCUUGGGUUGUAAGCUCUUUUACCCGGGAAGAUAAUGACUGUACCGGGAGAAUAAGCCCGGCUAACUCCGUGCCAGCAGCCGC